AUGAACGCUGGCGGCGUGCCUAAUACAUGCAAGUCGAGCGGUAACACUUCGGGUGACGAGCGGCGGACGGCUGAGUAACGCGUAGGAACGUACCCCAAACUGAGGGAUAAGCACCGGAAACGGUGUCUAAUACCGCAUGUGCUCUUCGGAGUAAAGCUCUUGAGCGGUUUGGGAACGGCCUGCGUAUGAUUAGCUUGUUGGUGAGGUAAUGGCUCACCAAGGCGACGAUCAUUAGCUGGUCUGAGAGGAUGAUCAGCCAGACUGGGACUGAGACACGGCCCAGACUCCUACGGGAGGCAGCAGUAGGGAAUUUUCCACAAUGGGCGCAAGCCUGAUGGAGCAACGCCGCGUGCAGGAUGAAGGCCUUCGGGUCGUAAACUGCUUUUGUUUGUGAAGAUUAUGACGGUAACAAGCGAAUAAGGGUCUGCUAACUACGU
This 437-nucleotide ribosomal RNA is filed under the name uncultured bacterium. RNAcentral describes it as "bacterial SSU rRNA". It matches the Rfam family "Bacterial small subunit ribosomal RNA", at positions 29 to 506 of the family's 1533-position model. The record is from RNAcentral.